GCUGGAGAAUCUGCUGCCUUCCUGCCAGUAUGAAACGUGGAAGCGCCCCUAUCAUCAUCAUCACCAGUGUCGCGUAUCACAUCAGACCUCCGUCAUCUUUUAUAUUGGACGUUUAGUUUUACACUUCUUCCCCUGUUCACAGUGGUGAAUUUACCGCAACAUUUUGCAUCUUUAAAUAAAGUGCUUCGUGUUGCUGACUAAGAUUAUGGUUAAAUCUCUGAAUUAAUAGCCUCAACUGAAGCAGUGCGCUUUGUUCUGGGCCCCACAUUUCAGGAAGUGCCGGCGAAGGUGCAUUGAAAAUCCAACAGAAUGGUUCCAGCGAAGAGGAAUUUCCGUUACGUGGAUUAAUUAAAGAAAUCAGUCUAUUUGCAGAAAAAUACAUUGAGGAAAUUUUGUACGAAUUCAAAAUGCAGAAGGGGACUGACCAGAGUAUGUUCUCAUUCGUAGGAAGAUCGGGAACCGGAGACCCAGCGAAGUAAUGUUUAAAGAAACAUAACUGUUCCUUUAUAGUAUUGGCCGGAUUGUCAUGAUCAUGUCGUCUCUACCCGUGUUUUAAGCGCCCUUGUGUGCAAUCUCCGAUAAUAGAGCAGGAAGGAGGUAUCUCACCACCUGCACAAAGUACAGAAUUAGCAUCAGCCUGAGAUAUCAAUUGUUCUCCAGCAAUGCAAAUGUGUCAGCAACAGUUACCAUGGCAACAGCAUUCGCCACAGGAACAGCAUUUCUCAGAGAAAGAGCAUUACCACAGGAAUGAUCAGAUACUAGAAAAACAGACAACAGAAAUGUGUGGACAUACCACAGUUUAAAGGCUAUGUGUAGAAUGUAUAUACAGAGGUUGAUGUAAGUCAAACUGAAUAAAGUGAAACCCUUUUUUGUUAA
Rhincodon typus (whale shark) is the source of this 876-nucleotide long non-coding RNA. RefSeq lists it as uncharacterized. Lineage: Eukaryota; Metazoa; Chordata; Chondrichthyes; Orectolobiformes; Rhincodontidae. The transcript is spliced from 2 exons. The record is from RefSeq and is a predicted model, not a curated record.